GCCGUAGUAGCUCAGGGGUAGAGCAACUCACUCGUAAUGAGUAGGUCGGGAGUUCGAAUCUCCCCUGCGGCUCCA
RNAcentral lists this transfer RNA (75 nucleotides) under bacterium. RNAcentral's name for it is "tRNA-Thr". It matches the Rfam family "tRNA". From Rfam's summary of the family: Transfer RNA (tRNA) molecules are approximately 80 nucleotides in length. Their secondary structure includes four short double-helical elements and three loops (D, anti-codon, and T loops). The record is from RNAcentral.